This 413-nucleotide ribosomal RNA is filed under the name uncultured bacterium. RNAcentral describes it as "bacterial SSU rRNA". It matches the Rfam family "Bacterial small subunit ribosomal RNA", at positions 362 to 773 of the family's 1533-position model. The record is from RNAcentral.
UAUUGGUCAAUGGACGAGAGUCUGAACCAGCCAAGUAGCGUGAAGGAUGACUGCCCUAUGGGUUGUAAACUUCUUUUAUAUGGGAAUAAAGUUUGGUAUGUAUACCAUUUUGUAUGUACCAUAUGAAUAAGGAUCGGCUAACUCCGUGCCAGCAGCCGCGGUAAUACGGAGGAGCCGAGCGUUAUCCGGAUUUAUUGGGUUUAAAGGGUGCGUAGGCGGGCUUUUAAGUCAGCGGUAAAAAUUCGGGGCUCAACCCCGUCCGGCCGUUGAAACUGGGGGCCUUGAGUGGGCGAGAAGAAGGCGGAAUGCGUGGUGUAGCGGUGAAAUGCAUAGAUAUCACGAAGAACUCCGAUUGCGAAGGCAGCCCACUAGACUGCAACUGACACUGAUGCUCGAAAGUGUGGGUAUCAAAC